CUUCCCAAAUUAAUUACCCUGUAUUCACGACACAACUCAUCUCACCUGGUUCCAUCCCUCGCGCACCCGUCUGGCCGUCCUUCCUUAGCGCCGUCAUCGUCGUCCCCGUUCGCCGCCCGGCCCUCCUCUUCGCAUCGUCGGUGCGUCAUCCCGUUCGGCGGCCACGCGAGGACUGGCCUACAAACUGCUCGUCCACGACCUCGCAAACGCAGAGCCGUCAUGCUUGUCUCCACCAAGAUCGGACCCUACUCCAUUUGCUGUUGUGGCAUGCGGUCGACCUCGUCGGUACGUCGUUUCUAUUCGGGAAGGAAGCCACGACGAGUGGAUUACUGAAGGUUCCGUGCGAGUUGAAGGUACUACAUGCGGCAGGUUGUAAGAAUGAGCCCCCAUCUGAUCUAGGUUGAUGGAAGCGGAAAAACAUACUUUGCUGAUGGUGAGAAUAACACGACGGUCGAUGGUGGGCCUAGCAUGCAGCAUGCUGUCGAGCAUCUCAGUGCUAAGGGUUAUGGUCAUCAGCUUGGAAGCAAACUAGCCAUACGCACCACUUGGUUGCUUGGAGAAAAAUGACUAUGGUUUAUGAAGCAUGGGUUGUUGGGUUGGAUGCUUGAUUUUCCUAUGAUGGAAGAAAAGGGUGCACAUUUGUAUUUCUA
Triticum aestivum (bread wheat) is the source of this 650-nucleotide long non-coding RNA. RefSeq lists it as uncharacterized. The record is from RefSeq and is a predicted model, not a curated record. NCBI's taxonomy places the organism in Eukaryota, Viridiplantae, Streptophyta, Magnoliopsida, Poales, Poaceae. The transcript is spliced from 3 exons.